CACCUUUGGAACCCACUGACUAUGCUGUGAGGAAGACAAGAAGCCACAUGGAAAAGCCACAUGCAGAUGUUCCAGUCUCAGCCCCAGCUGAAGACUCAGCCGAUACCAGCAUCCACCUCCAGCUGACAGCAGCAUCCACCUCCAGAUAUGUAAAGCCUGGGUAAAGCAGAGCAACUAUCAACAUCUAGUCAAACCUGAGGCCCUGCAGUCUGCAUUAACAAUUGAAACUUCUGCAAUGCAUUUCCGAAGGCUCCUUAGAAGAUCUCACAGAACCAAGCAGCAGUUUUCCGAAGCAGCAACCAAGUGAAGAGUGCUUCUUUGCACUGACUAUCCUUCCUCCUUUUUCACUCUCCAGUCCCACCAUUGCUCCCUGGGAUCACUUCCCAAAUAGGCUAUCUACAGCAAAGCAUUUGUCUCCACUCUGCUUUCUCUUUAAAAGUAGUAAAUGCAGUUGUGCGCCACCCAGAUCUCCCCUUCCGGCCCACAGCACUCAUUCCAGCUGCUGCCAGGACCCUUGCCUGCCAGUGGUUCACAAUUGAGUACCUUUCAUUAUGUUGUCCUGGCCAAAGGGAGCUGCUUCAUCCAAGCUGACAGCCCCUCCCACAGCCUAACCCAAUGGCUGGUAGAUUUGGGGGUAAAGUAGCCUUGCCUCAAUUUUAGACAUCUCUGAAGGGCAAGCUCAGCUCCAGAAACAUCCAGGGGAUCCACCAAACCCUUUGUUGCAGCUGCAUCACAGUUCAACCUCUCCCUCUGCUUGCUCCUGCUCCUUACUCCCUUACAGCUGUUGUUCUCGAGAACACAUCCCAAUAUACCUCCUGCAUGUAAAUAUCCACCCCAGAGUACAUUUCCUAGGAAAUAUGAUCUAAGACACUUAACCAAGACAAUUGGUACCAGUAGUAGCCUAAAAAACAGACCCUUAGGAUGAGAUUUUGGAAGAAAAUCACUCACAGACAACAAUAAGACCCCACUGCAAUUCCUGAGACUCUCAGUUGUGAGAGGUUGAAAUGAAGUGCAGGUGGAAGGUGAAGGGCUAGGAAGCAGUAGCCAUGAUAGGGUACUGCCACAGCCUGGCUUGACAAGUGGUGCUAGGUCCAUGCCCAGGAUCCAAGCCUGCAAACCCUGGGCCACCAAAGCAGAGCACACAAACUUAACCAUUAUGCCACCGGGCUGACAGAAAUGUUACAUAUAUUUUAUCACAAUAAAAAAAUUAAGACAAUUUACUGAAGUUUUCCAUUUUUGUUCAAUAUUUGAGUGGCAUAGUCUUCUGGAAUGCAAGCUAGAAUACGGUUAAAAGAAUUCCACUUACCUUGCUUUAUUUCUUCAUAUGAACACACUCCAUAGUAUUAGAGUAAGUAAUCAUGCAAUUAAGGUGGAAAGUGAUAACAACAUUAUUCACUGAACCAAUGUGUAUUUUAUUUACUCACUAAUCCAGCUAUGGAAAUUAUACACGUCAGAUAAAUAUGUGUUUUGCCAGUCUUGCAACUUUUAGGGCAUAGGCAGUCUUGCAAGAAAUUCCCAUGAGUAGUUAGUUCUCUUCUGUAUUCAUAUACAACAUAAUAAGUUCUUAGUCUAAGUGCAUCAUUAUAUUUCCUGGGAAUCCCCUCAGAGAUUGAUAAAAAUGAUAAAUUAGCCAUUGAUGCAAGAUCUGUUACUUUUCUUUUGUGUAAUUCCACAGGAAAUUUCAAAAUAAAACUCUGCCAUAUAACCUGUAAUAGUAGAAAAUAUCCAAAUGCACUCAUAAAUUGGAGCAGAGGAUGUGUAACUAGAUAAAGUGGAAGAAUUGAUAAACAAUAUAAAAAAGUAGGUUUUGUUUUUAUUACUUAACUGAAAUAUUCACAGCGACACAAUCAUUGCUUUUGCAAUACAUGCAAGUUAUUGUUUCUGUAUUUAGAAUUAGUAUUUUCGGGCCUGAAAUAUUGAUUAUUAUUUCCCCUGAGAUCAUAUAAAUCAUUUUAAUAUGCUUAUGUGGUUCAUAUUUCACUAAGGUAAUACUUAUUUCUUAUGCAAUUAUAACUCAAAUAAAUCAUUCUUUUU
Equus caballus (horse) is the source of this 2034-nucleotide long non-coding RNA. The record is from Ensembl. Lineage: Eukaryota; Metazoa; Chordata; Mammalia; Perissodactyla; Equidae.